This 479-nucleotide ribosomal RNA is filed under the name uncultured bacterium. RNAcentral's name for it is "bacterial SSU rRNA". It matches the Rfam family "Bacterial small subunit ribosomal RNA", at positions 107 to 598 of the family's 1533-position model. The record is from RNAcentral.
UGAGUAACGCGUGGGUAACCUACCCCAAAGUCCGGGAUAACAGCGGGAAACCGCUGCUAAUACCGGAUGUCUUUACCUUGGGGCAUCUUGAGGUAAAGAAAGGCAACGCUUUGGGAUGGGCCCGCGUCCCAUUAGCUAGUUGGUGAGGUAACGGCUCACCAAGGCGACGAUGGGUAGCCGGCCUGAGAGGGUGGACGGCCACACUGGGACUGAGACACGGCCCAGACUCCUACGGGAGGCAGCAGUAGGGAAUAUUGCGCAAUGGACGGAAGUCUGACGCAGCGACGCCGCGUGAGCGGUGAAGGUCUUCGGAUCGUAAAGCUCUGUCCUUGGGGAAGAAGGCGAAAGCUUGACGGUACCCAAGAAGAAAGCCCCGGCUAACUACGUGCCAGCAGCCGCGGUAAUACGUAGGGGGCGAGCGUUGUCCGGAAUUACUGGGCGUAAAGGGUGCGUAGGCGGCCCUUUAAGUCGGAUGUGAA